GGGUCCAACCUCCCACCCGUGUUUAUUUUACCUUGUUGCUUCGGCGGGCCCGCCUUAACUGGCCGCCGGGGGGCUUACGCCCCCGGGCCCGCGCCCGCCGAAGACACCCUCGAACUCUGUCUGAAGAUUGUAGUCUGAGUGAAAAUAUAAAUUAUUUAAAACUUUCAACAACGGAUCUCUUGGUUCCGGCAUCGAUGAAGAACGCAGCGAAAUGCGAUACGUAAUGUGAAUUGCAAAUUCAGUGAAUCAUCGAGUCUUUGAACGCACAUUGCGCCCCCUGGUAUUCCGGGGGGCAUGCCUGUCCGAGCGUCAUUUCUGCCCUCAAGCACGGCUUGUGUGUUGGGCCCCGUCCUCCGAUCCCGGGGGACGGGCCCGAAAGGCAGCGGCGGCACCGCGUCCGGUCCUCGAGCGUAUGGGGCUUUGUCACCCGCUCUGUAGGCCCGGCCGGCGCUUGCCGAUCAACCCAAAUUUUUAUCCAGGUUGACCUCGGAUCAGGUAGGGAUACCCGCUGAACUUAAGCAUAUC
RNAcentral lists this ribosomal RNA (525 nucleotides) under Penicillium sp. DY31-D69. Its description in RNAcentral is "eukaryotic LSU rRNA". The stretch from base 160 to 312 matches the Rfam family "5.8S ribosomal RNA". The record is from RNAcentral. Lineage: Eukaryota; Fungi; Ascomycota; Eurotiomycetes; Eurotiales; Aspergillaceae.